Molecule: microRNA precursor, 58 nt
Filed under: Mus caroli (Ryukyu mouse)
Lineage: Eukaryota; Metazoa; Chordata; Mammalia; Rodentia; Muridae
Description: miRNA (MGP_CAROLIEiJ_G0007552.1)
Source: RNAcentral
AAAGAUGGGGAGGGAUAAAGACCAGUCACUGUGGAUACUCAUCUUUAUCUCUUCCCAG